UCAGAUNGAACGUUGGCGGCAGGCUUAACACAUGCAAGUCGAACGAGAAAGUUCCUUCGGGAACGAGUAAAGUGGCGGACGGGUGAGUAACGCGUAGGAAUCUACCCUUUAGCGGGGGAUAACUCGGGGAAACUCGAGCUAAUACCGCAUAAAGUCUCUAGGGACUAAAGCGGGGGAUCUUCGGACCUCGCGCUAUAGGAGGAGCCUGCGUUGGAUUAGCUAGUUGGUAGGGUAAAGGCCUACCAAGGCGACGAUCCAUAGCUGGUCUGAGAGGACGAUCAGCCACACUGGAACUGAGACACGGUCCAGACGACUACGGUCGGCAGCAGUGGGGAAUUUUGCCCAAUGGGCGCAAGCCUGAGGCAGCUAUGCCGCGUGUGUGAAGAAGGCCUUAGGGUUGUAAAGCACUUUCAAUAGCGAAGAAGGUAAGCGGUUAAUACCCGUGGAUCUUGACGUUAACUAUAGAAGAAGUACCGGCUAACUCCGUGCCAGCAGCCGCGGUAAUACGGAGGGUACGAACGUUAAUCGGAAUUACUGGGCGUAAAGCGAGCGUAGGCGGUGUGAUAAAGCGAGAUGUGAAAUCCCUGGGCUUAACCUAGGAACUGCAUUUCGAACUGACACACUAGAGUGUAGUAGAGGGAUGUGGAAUGUGCUGUGUAGCGGUGAAAUGCGUAGAUAUAGCACGGAACACCAGUGGCGAAGGCGGCAUCCUGGACUAACACUGACGCUGAGGUUCGAAAGCUAGGGGAGCAAACAGGAUUAGAUACCCUGGUAGUCCUAGCCGUAAACGAUGAGAACUAGCCGUUGGGCCCCAUAGGGGCUUGGUGGCGAAGCUAACGCGAUAAGUUCUCCGCCUGGGGAGUACGGCCGCAAGGUUAAAACU
RNAcentral lists this ribosomal RNA (883 nucleotides) under uncultured Gammaproteobacteria bacterium. Its description in RNAcentral is "SSU rRNA". It matches the Rfam family "Bacterial small subunit ribosomal RNA", at positions 24 to 901 of the family's 1533-position model. Lineage: Bacteria; Pseudomonadati; Pseudomonadota; Gammaproteobacteria. The record is from RNAcentral.